This 811-nucleotide long non-coding RNA is filed under the name Homo sapiens (human). RNAcentral describes it as "non-protein coding LINC01436:2". The record is from RNAcentral. Lineage: Eukaryota; Metazoa; Chordata; Mammalia; Primates; Hominidae.
AGCCCAUCUGCACCCAGGCGCUCACUGAAACAGUGUGUUGCUCCACACCGCCUUGUUUUGCUUGUUGGCGCGCUCUCAGGGUUCCGACCAAUCCAAGAGCCUUGCAGAAAGCAUUAACGUGCUUUUCUCUUUGGCAGAGUUUUUCUUUGCUCUGAUCUUGGAGACAUCCCUCUGCCUAGUGGAAACAUAAGGAAUACAGAAAGAAUGCAAGGAGAUAGACCAACGUGAGAUUCUCCUUCAUGCACUCAAGAGAAAGAUGUUGCAGGAAGAGCUAGUCUUUCAGGCUGGGCUGGUGACCUGAGAAAGAAUGUCCAGCUUUUCUUCUCCACUUGGCAUAUCAAGAGCCAGGCGUGGAAGACUAAAACAGGAAAUGUUUAUAAAAACUGUUCAGCGGUUCGCCAACAAGAAGUGGUAAAGUAGCAAAAAUGGGGAUGGAGAUGCCAGGAGGAAAGAUGCCAGGGGUAAAGUGGGAAAAUGGGAACCUGAAGCCAGGAGGUCAAGCCAAGCCAACAGGUGUUCUGUUUUUCAAUGAGGAGGUGGGGCACAGGAUGGAUGGAAACUUUCCACAGUCACAGAACUAAUAAGUGGUGCUGAGGACUCAAACCCGGGGAAGCCCACUCUAGAACCCAUGCUGGUCAUCCAUAUCCCCAAGGCCCUGGUCAGAACACAGCUAAGCAGAUGGCUUGGGUCAUCAGGACGUCCAUUACAUCCAAAGGAAGACAGCCUGUGACGUUUCAAAAGCAAAAGUCCCCUACCAGCCAGUGAAGCUACCUGAUUUCUCAGUAUCUUACGCCCAGUGACACGAUCUACC